GCUGACACAUCCCGGCCAAUCUCCAGCAGACCCUCCCUCCCAGACCCUCCUACUUCCUGGACAGCAUCCAUGUUGAAACAUGUUGAAACAUGGAUGCUGUCCAGGAAGUAGGAGGGUCUGGGAGGGAGGGUCUGCUGGAGAUUGGCCGGGAUUUGUCAG
This 159-nucleotide microRNA precursor is filed under the name Pelobates cultripes (western spadefoot toad). Lineage: Eukaryota; Metazoa; Chordata; Amphibia; Anura; Pelobatidae. The record is from RNAcentral.